RNAcentral lists this ribosomal RNA (422 nucleotides) under uncultured bacterium. RNAcentral describes it as "bacterial SSU rRNA". It matches the Rfam family "Bacterial small subunit ribosomal RNA", at positions 355 to 774 of the family's 1533-position model. The record is from RNAcentral.
UGAGGAAUAUUGGGCAAUGCCCGAAAGGGUGACCCAGCAACGCCGCGUGGAGGAUGAAGGUCGUAAGAUUGUAAACUCCUGUUAGAGGGGAAGAAUAACUAAGUUUGGAGCUUAGUAUGACUGUACCCUCAGAGAAAGCCCCGGCUAACUACGUGCCAGCAGCCGCGGUAAUACGUAGGGGGCAAGCGUUGUCCGGAUUUACUGGGUGUAAAGGGCGCGCAGGCGGGAUAAAAAGUCAGUGGUGAAAUCCUACAGCUUAACUGUAGAACUGCCUUUGAUACUUUUAUUCUUGAGUUCGGGAGAGAGAGACGGAAUUCCAGGUGUAGUGGUGAAAUACGUAGAUAUCUGGAAGAACACCAGUUGCGAAGGCGGUCUCUUGGUCCGACACUGACGCUGAGGCGCGAAAGCGUGGGGAGCAAACA